AGGCUCUGCUCUGACAACCCUCUUCCUUCUGCAUUUUUUCUAGAUUAUAGUUGUUUACUUUUCUGUUUCCUCCCAGUCAGCAGCAGGUAUUUUCUGACAUUCAGAGCUACAUAGUAUAUAGAACAGAUAAAGAACUCACUACUUAUAGGUAGACAGGUGGAGUGAAGGGAGGAACAAGUGGCAUUGUGAUCCUUGAUGUCAUGUGUCCACUAGACUAGGCCAAGAGACGCCAGAGAGCUGGUAAAACUGUAUUUCUGGGGGUUGGGGUUGUGGCUCAGUGGUAGAGUACCUGCCUAGUGCAUGUAAGGCCCUGGGUUCGAUCCUCAGCACCACAUAAAAAUAAAUAAAUAAAAGUAUUGUGUCCAACUACAACUAAGGAAAAAAAAAAACAACUUUAUUUCUGGGUGUGCCUGCGGGGAUCCUUCUGCAAGAGGUUAGCAUUUGAACUGGGGAACUGAGAAAAGCUGAUAGUCCUCCCACAGGCUGGCAGACAUCAUCCAAUCCUCUGACAGCUGGAGUAGAACAAAAAAGCAGAGGAAGAAAGAAUUCUCUCCCUUCUCUUUAGGGGGUAUCCGUUUUCUCCCACCCCGAGACAUCAGAGCUCCUGGUCCUCAGGCUUUUGGACUUGCCCUGAAUCACGCCACCAGCUUUCCUGGAUCUCCAGCCUGUACCUCUGGGCCUCCAUGAUUGUUUAAGCCAAUUCCCCUGGUAAAUCCCCUCUUAGAGAUCUCUGUUUCUCCUCCUGGGUGUGUUUAUCUGGAGAAUCCUAAUAUAUGCAUAAAAACUUGCCAAUCAAGGUUAGCUCCAUACACAUCAAACGGGCUUACUCCUGGGGGGCUUCAGCCCUGCCUAACCAUCUGCACUCACCCCCCUUUGUGAGUUCUUUGCUGUGCCCGUGGCACCCCUCCUGGACCAUCUCCACCCUCAUGGAAGGGGAGGGGUGUUCUGCCUCCCAGCCCCACCCCAUGGCCCCCUCCGCUGAGCCCAGGGCAUGGGUUCCUCCCCCAACCUGCCCAUCCAUCUCAUCUAAAGGGGCUCUUUUAGCCAAAUUGGGAAAAAUAAUUGGAAUCUGCCUGUUCUUAGUUGGGCAGGAGGGCCGCAACAGUCCUAGAGGGAGCCACAAACAGUUUGCUCUCUCUCAUGAGAGAGCAAUAUUAAAAAAUAUUUGUGGAGUGAAGGCAUGAAGGUACUAUAAAUAUUUACACUUGAGAUUCAAUCAGUCUCUGAAAGAAAAGGUUUGUAAGGCCAAAGCAAAGCAUCAGGAAUUCCAGACAUGCUAAGUUGGCAGAUUCCAGAGGCUACAUUCUCAGCAACUCGGGCCUGAGUUCCUCGUCUGGAUUUCUCUGGACCCUGCUGACCGCCACUUAGAAGACCCGUCACCCCUGCUUCUUCCAGGUUUGAAGGUGGAGGACACAGAAUUCUCUGGCUAAGUGACUCGCUAACCUGGUGGGGAGCUUGGGGCAGGAUCCUGCCUAUUGUUGUUUGCUGGAAGGGAUGGGAUUCACGUGCCAGCCCAGAAUGGUGUCUCCAUAUACACUUCCUUUGGUGAGUGUGCAGACAUGAAAUCAGCUGGUUUUUGGAAAACAAGCUCAAUGGCUACCUGGCCAGGUAUGGAACUGGAUGAGAGGCGCGUGCUGCCAACUGUCAGUGUGGAGCCGUUGCAAGUGUGGUGGUGCUGCUGCAGCUGGAUUGCCAAGCCUGGUCACGGUGAGCGACAGCAGUCAUGACUCAGCAGCUGCUGACUGGAGGGGAUACAGACUCUGGGAUGCUAGGACUUGGAACAGUACUCCAGUUUCAGAAGGGAUAGCACUAAGUCACUCUUUGAGAAAACAUGUCUCUGACCAGUGAGCCUGGCUUGGCUUGAGGAGUACCAGACUGUGCCUCUGAUCUCACCUGAAACUUUGCCAGUGGCAUGUCUCAAAGUGAGCUACAUUUUGCAACUCAAGCAGGCUUAGUCUCACUAUAUGGAAGAGUUUUUUUUUCUAAACAUUUAGGAAAAUAAUUCGUACCACAUAGUUGUUUUCAACAACUAUGCCCCAAACUAUUCUUCCCAUGAGUGGUUUUAUAGUUUCUUCAAAGUCACCGUCAGGAUUUACCUUUUUCAUGUAGCUAUUCAUCUACUUACUGUACUCUUCUGGCUCUGAUAUGCUCAAUGUGUUAAUCUGUUGUUAUAUUGUUUCAUGUAUUCCCCAUGUUUGUGUACCAGUAAACAGACUCAAAAAUCAUGCCUAAAACAUAAUAUAAA
This is a long non-coding RNA of Ictidomys tridecemlineatus (thirteen-lined ground squirrel), 2245 nucleotides long. RefSeq lists it as uncharacterized. Lineage: Eukaryota; Metazoa; Chordata; Mammalia; Rodentia; Sciuridae. The record is from RefSeq and is a predicted model, not a curated record.